GCUUCAAUUCUCAUGACCGGAAGUUGCCGCUUUGGUCAAAGGCACAGUAUGUUCGAAGACAACAACGCCAGCAGGUUGCAGAGAUUAGACUACCAUAGACAGGUGCCAUGAACCUUACCAAGAAGACCUAAUCAACUUGUCCAUUCAUUAAGCAGAAUAUGGCAUAGUUGUGAAGAAAAUGCUAUUGCAUUCAAGGUCAUGAUAAUUCCGUUAUAGUAAAAUGAAAAUGUUAUAGUGUUUUCAAAUGAAAUACAUAUAUAAGACACAUAAGAUGUAGUAAGGGAUUAUGUUGUG
Molecule: long non-coding RNA, 294 nt
Organism: Notolabrus celidotus (New Zealand spotty)
Lineage: Eukaryota; Metazoa; Chordata; Actinopteri; Labriformes; Labridae
Exons: 3
Source: RefSeq, a predicted model, not a curated record